RNAcentral lists this ribosomal RNA (497 nucleotides) under uncultured bacterium. RNAcentral describes it as "partial 16S ribosomal RNA". It matches the Rfam family "Bacterial small subunit ribosomal RNA", at positions 28 to 507 of the family's 1533-position model. The record is from RNAcentral.
GAUGAACGCUGGCGGCGUGCCUAAUACAUGCAAGUCGAGCGAACGGACGAGAAGCUUUCUUCUCUGAUGUUAUCGGCGGACGGGUGAGUAACACGUGGAUAACCUACCUAUAAGACUGGGAUAACUUCGGGAAACCGGAGCUAAUACCGGAUAAUAUUUUGAACCGCAUGGUUCAAAAGUGAAAGACGGUCUUGCUGUCACUUAUAGAUGGAUCCGCGCUGCAUUAGCUAGUUGGUAAGGUAACGGCUUACCAAGGCAACGAUGCAUAGCCGACCUGAGAGGGUGAUCGGCCACACUGGAACGGAGCAACGGUCCAGACUCCUACGGGAGGCAGCAGUAGGGAAUCUUCCGCAAUGGGCGAAAGCCUGACGGAGCAACGCCGCGUGAGUGAUGAAGGUCUUCGGAUCGUAAAACUCUGUUAUUAGGGAAGAACAUAUGUGUAAGUAACUGUGCACAUCUUGACGGUACCUAAUCAGAAAGCCACGGCUAACUACGUG